GCAUACCUACGGGGCGCAGCAGUGGGGGAUAUUACACAAUGGGGGGAACCCUGAUGCAGCGACGCCGCGUGGGUGAAGAAGCGCCUCGGCGCGUAAAGCCCUGUCAGCAGGGAAGAAAAUGACGGUACCUGAAGAAGAAGCUCCGGCUAACUACGUGCCAGCAGCCGCGGUAAUACGUAGGGAGCAAGCGUUAUCCGGAAUUAUUGGGUGUAAAGGGUGCGUAGACGGGAUGUCAAGUUAGUUGUGAAAUACCUCGGCUCAACUGAGGAACUGCAACUAAAACUAACAUUCUUGAGUGCAGGAGG
Molecule: ribosomal RNA, 305 nt
Filed under: uncultured bacterium
Lineage: Bacteria
Description: bacterial SSU rRNA
Rfam family: Bacterial small subunit ribosomal RNA
Source: RNAcentral